GGCAAGAUUGGGUAACCGUACAGCAUAAUCCAAGGCACAUUUUGGAACCUUUUUUGUGGAAGUUAUUAGAUUCAGUUUAUUGACAAAAACUUCGGCCCAUCAUUCUGUAUCUUUUAUCUUCAAAUCAACAGUAACCCUUCUCUCAUAUUCUAUACAUGCUUAUCAAUUGAUGAGUAUGUUUUGUCGAACUCAACCCGGCAAAUGAAUUUUAAGCAUAUGAGUUCUCCUUUCCUCAAUUCGCAAAUAAAAAUACUAAGUUGGGGUUUCACGAUUAGGUUAGGGUUUGGCUUUAAUGUUUGUGCAUAGAUUUAUCGUUGGGUUCCGGCAAUUGAAAGGAGAAAACUGAAUCUGCCAUUGUAGUUGAUUUCCCAAAAUCCAAUUCAGGUAGGAUAGUUUCCAUGGCAGAACAAGCAUUCAAAAGGUAAGAUUUGAGAUCAAUAGAUAUAUUGAUCUUUGUUUUGUUUAUUCUGAAAAUUUUAUGCUUCUCUUUCAAACAUUUGAUUGAAUUGGAGAAUUGAUGCAGCGACACUACAUUGGUGUCAUUACUAUAUUGUAGAUCUAUAGUAUUAUUGUCCUUGCGGGGAAAAAUGCCAGUAUAAUUUGCUACGAAGGAAAAUGCUUUUCACUACAAUUUUCUUGCGGGGAAAAAUAUUUUAGAUUUUUUGGGUGUAAAAGUAGGCCAUACUUUUCCAGUAUAAAAAAGUUGUCAAUCACGUCAAAUGUUGUAUUGAUAAAGAGUUGGGAUAAACAUAAAAAACUUUCUAUUAUUUGGAUUGAAGAUUUCUGUGUUAGAGAAUUGGCAAUGGCUUUUAUAUCUUCAAGUACAAUUCAUGGCUCUCUUUCUUCAUCUUUUUAUGAAAAAUAACCCAAAGGUACCCAUAACCUUUUUCUCUCAAACUAUUAACUUUUACACUUAAAUGUGUAACUUUUAUGAAGAUUAGACAAUUUUAUCAUCUGGGUUCGUCUUUCUUUCCCUUUUUGGUUUUGUUUUGGUUCUCAAAGUUUCAGUCUUUGCAAUUAAAAGUGUAAAUGUGAUGAACAUCAAGAAUUUUAUCAUUUGAGGUUUUUCUUUGUGCUUUUUUUUUUCUCUAGGAUCUCAUUUGUCGAUUUUUUACAUUGUCACUCAGCAAAUGUAUCGGCCUCAAACUUCUUUGAAAGCAUUGAAUUUUACUCUGACGUGUUGGCUAUGAAGUCAUUAGUUCCAUUAGAAGCAACUACCAGUAAGCUAUUAGCCUUACCGAUAUCUGGCCUUUUCAAUUUUUUACUAGCCACCCAUUUUCUAAUACAUGUAAAUAGGCUAAUAGUUAUGGGCUAUAGCGUCUCACUGUAAUUAUAUCUUCCUUAGAGUUUGUUUGUAGGAUUCACGUUUAAAGAAUUGUACUAACUGUUCAUGUAAAAUAGUGACGAUUAUAGCUUUCUUGGUCUGAUAAUUAAGAUCUCUAAUUUGGUUUUAUAGUUCAGUUGUAAAUAUUGGUUCCUGCUGAAAAGGUUGUUUAUUGAUCUACGUCGAUUCCCGCCAUCAAUGUUAGCAACAAUUGCAAUCUUUACUGUGCAAUGCAUGCUCUGUGUGUCUAAGGAGUGGAAGAAAACCCACUUUUGUAGCUUUUACUGUUGUUGGAGUAUACAAACAAGAUAUAGUAAUCAAGAUGGCAAAAGCACUGCAAAGUUAUGGCAUGUAGAGAACAGUAGUUAUUCAUUCUGAAGGUUUACAUUAAAUGAGUCCUCUUGGCAAGAUUUUCUUUUUUUUCCUUAUUGUAUUGUAUAUAUAAACUUGCACUUGGCUUUAUCAAUCAUACAAUGUGAAUUGACAGGACCUGGAGCAGUCCUUAUGUUACACCUGAAAAUAUUAAAAAAUUCUCUUCUAACCCAUGUAAGAAUCUUUUUUCUCUUCUUCUAGCACAACGUUUGGUGGCCCAUUUGGACAAAUUUAAUUCAAAGUAUGUUCUACAAUUGGGUUGUUGUUGUUGUUGUUCUACAAUUGAACUGAGAUCAAUACAUAUAUUCUCUGUUUUGUUUAUUCUGAAAAUUAUAUUUUCAUCAAUAUUUGAAGAUUGUGGUUGCUAAAGUUUGCUUCUUUUUCAUUCAUUACUUACAUAGCCUGAAGCAGAACAAAUUUGAAAAUAUGAACAUUCUCAAGCACAUCUCAGUUGUUGUUGCCUUUUGACUCCAAAAGAAGAAAAUAAGAAGAAUAAUCUGGUUUCUCAUCAUAGAAUACAAUAACUAAUAUUUGUGUAUCAUUGCAAUUGAUUUUGGUAUAUCAAGCUGUACUAUACAGAACCUGCAAGGGGGAGUCAUAGUACAAUGUUGAGAUACUAAGGCGUAUGCUUUCGGUUGAAAGAAAAUGGGCCAAUUGAAAAUGUAUUGAACUUGAACUCUUGCUGAUCACAUCAAGCCUCUGCAUAAAUGCAAAUUUAGAUACUGAAUGUUGCAGCAGCACUAUUAGUCAGCGGGCAAGUUGUUAACUUAGUUGAAUGAGUAGCAAUGGCACGUACCACACAUCAUUCAAGGAAAGCUCUCAAUGCUCUUAAUCAUUGGAUUGAUGUUUUCAUUAUAAGUCAAAAUCAAGUACUCCUAUUUUUCAGUUCAACUAAAACAAGAAUUUGUUUGACAGCUUAAAAUUUACUGUGUGAUAGUUUUAUAACUCAUUAUUCUGAUACUAAAAUAUAGAGUGCAAAAGAAUCAGUAAAGAUGCUCCGCUAGAGUAUGUAAGGAUAAGAUUAUUGAGCUACUCUCAAAAUUUAUGCUUUGGUAAUUUGUUGGAUCAUUUGGAAGCAUAAAGGUGAGGUACCGUAUGGUGACUCCAAGAAGUUCUCUCUGUUCAAAAUUGAGAAAGAUAUUAGUUGAAUGAUCAAUACCACCUUGGCUGUUACUCCCUAGCUGCAAUCUCAAUAUGCAUUGGACUCGAUUUUGUGAAUAUGUUGAAAUGCUAAGGCAAAAUAUCAUUAACAGUUAUAUUACUUAGGAUAGACUUGCUUCAUAAAAAUGAAAACUUGAUAGCGAUGAAAGUUUUAUAAAGAGACUGGCAAGAGCGGCAUAGGUGAAAUUCUGCGUAAUGAUAAUGGGGCUAUCAUCUUCGCUUACACUUGCCCUGCUAAUGGUAAUGGAAUCAUGGCUACAGAAUCGAAGGCUUUACAAUAGGGUGUCAACUGGUGCGUCGACAGUCGACAAUAGUUCCAGAAAUUUCAAAGGGGAAAUUGUCUCUCCUACAAUUAAAAAUAUGGUAGUGGGUGUUUCUCCUACCAACUAUAAGAUACUCAAGAUGAUUAGCUACUCAAUUCUAUGGAAGGAUCUCAUGUCUCUGUUGUGUAAUCAAAGAGCUAACCAAAUAUUUUGCAUAUUUAUCUUAAGUUUUUGCAGUUA
Nicotiana tabacum (common tobacco) is the source of this 3360-nucleotide non-coding RNA. The record is from RefSeq and is a predicted model, not a curated record. NCBI's taxonomy places the organism in Eukaryota, Viridiplantae, Streptophyta, Magnoliopsida, Solanales, Solanaceae.